CCUACGGGAGGCUGCAGUAGGGAAUAUUGGUCAAUGGGGGAAACCCUGAGCCAGCAACGCCGCGUGGAGGAUGAAGGUUUUCGGAUUGUAAACUCCUUUUGUUAGAGAUGAUAAUGACGGUAUCUAACGAAUAAGCACCGGCUAACUCCGUGCCAGCAGCCGCGGUAAUACGGAGGGUGCAAGCGUUACUCGGAAUCACUGGGCGUAAAGAGCGCGUAGGCGGGAUAGCAAGUCAGAUGUGAAAUCCUAUGGCUUAACCAUAGAACUGCAUUUGACAAUGUUAUUCUAGAGUAUGGGAGAGGUAGGUGGAAUUCUUGGUGUAGGGGUAAAAUGCGUAGAGAUCAAGAAGAAUACUCAUUGCGAAGGCGGCCUGCUAGAACAUAACUGACGCUGAGGCGCGAAAGCGUGGGGAGCAAACAGGAUUAGAUACCCCUGUAGUC
This 440-nucleotide ribosomal RNA is filed under the name uncultured bacterium. RNAcentral describes it as "partial 16S ribosomal RNA". It matches the Rfam family "Bacterial small subunit ribosomal RNA", at positions 338 to 795 of the family's 1533-position model. The record is from RNAcentral.